GUUAUAUGGUCAAGCGAAUAAGCGCACACGGUGGAUGCCUUGGCGGUCAGAGGCGAUGAAGGACGUGGCAGCCUGCGAAAAGUAUCGGGGAGCUGGCAACAAGCUUUGAUCCGGUAAUGUCCGAAUGGGGAAACCCACCCGCUUGCGGGUAUCCUGCAGUGAAUACAUAGCUGCUGGAAGCGAACCUGGUGAACUGAAAUAUCUAAGUAACCAGAGGAAAAGAAAUCAACCGAGAUUCCGUAAGUAGCGACGAGCGAACGCGGACUAGCCCUUAAGCUGAUUUGGUUCUAGGAAAACGCUCUGGAAAGAGCGGCCAUAGAAGGUGAUAGCCCUGUAUCUGAAAGGGCCAUUUCAGUGAAGACGAGUAGGGCGGGGCACGUGAAACCCUGUCUGAACAUGGGGGGACCAUCCUCCAAGGCUAAAUACUACUGACCGACCGAUAGUGAACCAGUACCGUGAGGGAAAGGCGAAAAGAACCCCGGAGAGGGGAGUGAAAUAGAACCUGAAACCGUGUGCGUACAAGCAGUAGGAGCUCCGCAAGGAGUGACUGCGUACCUUUUGUAUAAUGGGUCAGCGACUUACUGUUCGUGGCAAGCUUAACCGUAUAGGGGAGGCGAAGGGAAACCGAGUCUGAUAAGGGCGCAUAGUCGCGGGCAGUAGACCCGAAACCGGGUGAUCUAGUCAUGCCCAGGGUGAAGGUGCGGUAACACGCACUGGAGGCCCGAACCCACUCCCGUUGCAAAGGUAGGGGAUGAGGUGUGAUUAGGAGUGAAAAGCUAAUCGAACCCGGAGAUAGCUGGUUCUCCUCGAAAGCUAUUUAGGUAGCGCCUCAUAUGUAUCCUCUCGGGGGUAGAGCACUGUUAUGGCUAGGGGGUCAUCGCGACUUACCAAACCAUUGCAAACUCCGAAUACCGAGACGGACUGUAUGGGAGACACACGGCGGGUGCUAACGUCCGUCGUGAAAAGGGAAACAACCCAGACCCACAGCUAAGGUCCCAAAUUUUGUGCUAAGUGGAAAACCAUGUGGAAAGGCACAGACAGCCAGGAGGUUGGCUUAGAAGCAGCCACCCUUUAAAGAAAGCGUAAUAGCUCACUGGUCGAGUCGGUCUGCGGGGAAGAUUUAACGGGGCUAAGCACAGAACCGAAGCUUGGGGUGCAUACUUUGUAUGCGCGGUAGAGGAGCGUUCCGUAAGCCGUUGAAGGUGGAUUGAGAAGUCUGCUGGAGGUAUCGGAAGUGCGAAUGCUGACAUGAGUAACGAUAAUGCGGGUGAAAAACCCGCACGCCGAAAGCCCAAGGUUUCCUUGCGCAACGUUAAUCGGCGCAGGGUGAGUCGGCCCCUAAGGCGAGGACGAAAGUCGUAGUCGAUGGGAAGCAGGUUAAUAUUCCUGCACCUCGCGUAAGUGCGAUGGAGGGACGGAGAAGGUUAGGUGUACCAGGCGUUGGUUGUCCUGGGGAAAGGCGGUAGGUUUGGAUCUUUGGCAAAUCCGGGAUCCUUUAAGACCGAGCACCGAGACGAGCCUUUAAGGCGAAGUCACUGAUACCACGCUUCCAGGAAAAGCUCCUAAGCUUCAGCUUACGCAGACCGUACCGUAAACCGACACAGGUGGGUAGGAUGAGAAUUCUCAGGCGCUUGAGAGAACUCGGGUGAAGGAACUAGGCAACAUGGCACCGUAACUUCGGGAGAAGGUGCACCCUUUUUGGUGGCUCGUGCGAGCUAUAGCUGAAGAGGGUCGCAGUAACCAGGCCGCUGCGACUGUUUAUCAAAAACACAGCACUCUGCAAACACGAAAGUGGACGUAUAGGGUGUGACGCCUGCCCGGUGCUGGAAGGUUAAUUGAUGGGGUCAGCCGCAAGGCGAAGCUCUUGAUCGAAGCCCCAGUAAACGGCGGCCGUAACUAUAACGGUCCUAAGGUAGCGAAAUUCCUUGUCGGGUAAGUUCCGACCUGCACGAAUGGCGUAACGACAGCGGCGCUGUCUCCACCCGAGACUCAGUGAAAUUGAAAUCGCUGUGAAGAUGCAGCGUUCCCGUGGCAAGACGGAAAGACCCCGUGAACCUUUACUAUAGCUUUACACUGAACGUUGAGUUCGUCUGUGUAGGAUAGGUGGGAGGCUAUGAAACUGUGGCGCUAGCUGCAGCGGAGCCAUCCUUGAAAUACCACCCUGUCGUGCUUGACGUUCUAACCUGGGCCCAUUAUCUGGGUCGGGGACCGUGUAUGGUGGGUAGUUUGACUGGGGCGGUCUCCUCCUAAAGAGUAACGGAGGAGCUCGAAGGUACGCUCAGCGCGGUCGGACAUCGCGCACUGUGUGCAAAGGCAUAAGCGUGCUUGACUGCAAGAUCGACGGAUCAAGCAGGUAGGAAACUAGGACUUAGUGAUCCGGUGGUUCUGUAUGGAAGGGCCAUCGCUCAACGGAUAAAAGGUACUCCGGGGAUAACAGGCUGAUACCGCCCAAGAGUUCAUAUCGACGGCGGUGUUUGGCACCUCGAUGUCGGCUCAUCACAUCCUGGGGCUGUAGUCGGUCCCAAGGGUAUGGCUGUUCGCCAUUUAAAGUGGUACGCGAGCUGGGUUCAGAACGUCGUGAGACAGUUCGGUCCCUAUCUGCCAUGGGCGUUGGAGAUUUGAGAGGGGCUGCUCCUAGUACGAGAGGACCGGAGUGGACGAACCUCUGGUGUUCCGGUUGUCACGCCAGUGGCAUUGCCGGGUAGCUAUGUUCGGAAGCGAUAACCGCUGAAAGCAUCUAAGCGGGAAGCGCGCCUCAAGAUGAGAUCUCCCGGGGCACAAGCCCCCUGAAGGAACCAUGUAGACUACGUGGUUGAUAGGUCAGGUGUGUAAGUACAGCAAUGUAUUGAGCUAACUGAUACUAAUGAUCCGUGCGGCUUGACCAUAUAACCU
RNAcentral lists this ribosomal RNA (2892 nucleotides) under Stenotrophomonas maltophilia. RNAcentral's name for it is "bacterial LSU rRNA". It matches the Rfam family "Bacterial large subunit ribosomal RNA". The record is from RNAcentral. Lineage: Bacteria; Pseudomonadati; Pseudomonadota; Gammaproteobacteria; Lysobacterales; Lysobacteraceae.